AGUGAACGCUGGCGGUAGGCCUAACACAUGCAAGUCGAACGGCAGCACAGUAAGAGCUUGCUCUUACGGGUGGCGAGUGGCGGACGGGUGAGGAAUACAUCGGAAUCUACUUUUUCGUGGGGGAUAACGUAGGGAAACUUACGCUAAUACCGCAUACGACCUACGGGUGAAAGCAGGGGAUCUUCGGACCUUGCGCGAUUGAAUGAGCCGAUGUCGGAUUAGCUAGUUGGCGGGGUAAAGGCCCACCAAGGCGACGAUCCGUAGCUGGUCUGAGAGGAUGAUCAGCCACACUGGAACUGAGACACGGUCCAGACUCCUACGGGAGGCAGCAGUGGGGAAUAUUGGACAAUGGGCGCAAGCCUGAUCCAGCCAUACCGCGUGGGUGAAGAAGGCCUUCGGGUUGUAAGGCCCUUUCGUUGGGAAAGAAAAGCAGCAGGUUAAUACCCCGCUGUUCUGACGGUACCCAAAGAAUAAGCACCGGCUAACUUCGUG
RNAcentral lists this ribosomal RNA (492 nucleotides) under uncultured bacterium. Its description in RNAcentral is "partial 16S ribosomal RNA". It matches the Rfam family "Bacterial small subunit ribosomal RNA", at positions 29 to 507 of the family's 1533-position model. The record is from RNAcentral.